AUGCUCACUUUGACAACACAUAUACUUAAAGUUGGAACAGUGCAGAGAAGAUGAUCACAGCCCCUGUGCAAAAAUGACGCACAAAUUUCUGAAGCUUUCCAUAUUUAA
Balaenoptera acutorostrata (minke whale) is the source of this 108-nucleotide small nuclear RNA. The record is from RefSeq and is a predicted model, not a curated record. Lineage: Eukaryota; Metazoa; Chordata; Mammalia; Artiodactyla; Balaenopteridae.